This 459-nucleotide long non-coding RNA is filed under the name Homo sapiens (human). RNAcentral describes it as "HSALNT0344529". Lineage: Eukaryota; Metazoa; Chordata; Mammalia; Primates; Hominidae. The record is from RNAcentral.
AGGAGCAGCAGAGGACCGAGCGGUCGUUGGUCUCCCCAAGGGAACCUGCACUUGAUGGAUCAGCUGGCACCACCCAGAUCAAUAAACUGGCUCAUCAGAUCUUGUGGCCCCUCACCCAGGAACUGAUAAGGGCAAGAAGACCGCUUUGACUCCCUAUGAUUUCAUCUCUGACCAAUCAGCACUCCUGGCUCACUGGCUUCCCCCCACCCAAGUUAUCCUUGAAAACUCUGAUCCCUGAAUGCUUCAAUGCUCAAGGAGAUGGAUUUGAGUAAUAAUAAAACUCUAGUCUCCUGCACAGCCAGCUCUGUGUAAAUUACUCUUUCUCUAUUGCAAUUCCCCCAUCUCGAUAGGCUCUGUCUAGGCAGCGGGCAAGGUGAACCCCUUGGGUGGUUGCAAGCCGAGUCGCCCAACACCCUCUUCCAAAUGCACAGCUGUUGCUUUGCAGGCUGCAAGGCUCCU